AUUCUUCUGGUUUAUGAUAUUCUUCUGGUUCAUAAACUGGAGGGUGUUUGUGACCAGGUGGUUUGUGAACCGGGGGUUUGUAGUGACCUUCUAAUUCAUUUACUGGUGGUUUGUGCACGGGUGGUUUGUGCACUGGUGGCUUGUGAACGGGGGGUUUGUAGUGACCUCCUAGUUCCUCUACAGGGGGCUUGUGGUAGGGAGGUGGUUUGUGAACGGGUGGUUUGUGCACUGGUGGCUUGUGGUGAUUAUCUAUGUCGGAAACUGGCGGCUUGUGAUAUGGUGGUUUGUGGAUGGGCAGUUUGAGCUCAGCGAGGGAGGGAGUGGCAAGAACCACCACCCCAAGGAAGACGAGAAGAUUGAAAGACAUGCUAAUGUGUUUGUGCUGAUGUAGUGUAAUGACAAUGGGUUUUUAUAGGGAGCUUGGGAUCACUUACGACAAUUACUUGCAAUAAUUUUUGCUUUUAACACUUGUAGGGUUGGUACAUGGUACUCUCUCCGUUUCAAUUUACAUGUCCACUUUGAAUAAAAAAAUUUGUUUCAAAUUAGUUGUUCAGUUCAACUUUUAAUACAAAAUUAUAUUUCCAAAAUCAAUUCUACUCCAUAUAUUUUUCAUUUAUAUUUUUCAGAUCAAUCUCAGUCCACAAAUUAGGGUCAUUUAAUGUAAUUAAUUUGUCAACAUUCACUUUUCUUAAACUGUGUGAUUUUUUAGAAGUGAACAUCUAAUUUGAAACAGAAAAGAGACUAAUUUUUCAGCAAAAGAUAAUGUAUUCUUAUAGACUAUAGUGCAUGCAUGAAUAUGCAUAUUUAACCGACAACAUAGACCUUAAGACAUUCUUUUAGUAAAUUACUAAAGAGGUAGAGAACUGGAUUUUGAACACUUGGUUAAAAUCGAGUGAAAAUUAGGACAGAGAUUUUAGAUUAUUGUAGCACUGAACACAAAGUCGUUAAUUGAUUUGAUUGAGGUUUGCUGUUUGUAAGAAAUUUACCAACCCACUUACACUUUCGUGUAUUUACGUAUCUUUUUCUUUUCUUUAAAUUAAAAAGAGCAGGUGUUGAUACUUGACACUAGUUGCUUACAAGUUUUUGUUUGGCCUUGGGGUGGUUAAUACAGGAUACUCGGUAAUAAGACCAUGCACAAGGCUUCUAGAACGACUUUAAAUUAUUAUAAAAUUGAUUAACGAAAAAUAAGUGGUUUUUGUCAAAUGACGCUAUAUAUAUAGUGGUCAUGUUUAAAGAAAAUACAAAACUUUAAUUAAGUAACUAAUUGUAGUUUACUUUAUUCAAAAGAAUAAAAAUAGCCAUAACAAUUGCUAUUUUGUGACUGUCUAGUAAUACUUAGACACAUAUAUUAAUUUAUAUAUAAUAAUUUUGACAAGAUAGAAAGAUGUGUGUUUUUUCUGCUGCUGAGAAAAACUACUGUAAUUUAGUUUUAGUAUAUAAUUUCUGAUUUUCACUGAAUCAGCAUAAAACAGGACCCAGCUAAAGCUUGUGAUAACGUGAAUCAAUCCAGCUAUCAACGGAUUCCUAUCAUUUUGUCAGAUGAAACUAGAUAUUUUAUUGUCAAUUUUAUGAAUAACUUUUAUUAUUUUUUCACCCGCACCAGAGUCUUUGUUAGUUGCCAUGCAGGGAGUAGUCUAUUCAGGGAUAUAUGAAGUUUGAGUUUUCCGUCUUGUUUUGUAUCCAAAUUAUGUUGGGAUCAGAAUUGAUAAAGGAAGAAGGCAGAAAGCUUUUCUUUAUAUAUUAUUAUUUGCUGGCUUAAUUUACAACUGAUCCAUCUAGUCUUUAUAUAGAUAGACUAGGAAGACUAUGAGUUUAGAUCAUUAAUAAGGUUCAUGAAUAAGUUCAGGAGACCUUCCAUUGCUUACAUUGAAUAUUUGACUCAUUACUUAUAACUAGAAUCAUCUAGACUCUUAGAGAUAAUUCAAGAGAAUUACAAAUUAACUUAUUUUUAACANNNNNNNNNNNNNNNNNNNNNNNNNNNNNNNNNNNNNNNNNNNNNNNNNNNNNNNNNNNNNNNNNNNNNNNNNNNNNNNNNNNNNNNNNNNNNNNNNNNNNNNNNNNNNNNNNNNNNNNNNNNNNNNNNNNNNNNNNNNNNNNNNNNNNNNNNNNNNNNNNNNNNNNNNNNNNNNNNNNNNNNNNNNNNNNNNNNNNNNNNNNNNNNNNNNNNNNNNNNNNNNNNNNNNNNNNNNNNNNNNNNNNNNNNNNNNNNNNNNNNNNNNNNNNNNNNNNNNNNNNNNNNNNNNNNNNNNNNNNNNNNNNNNNNNNNNNNNNNNNNNNNNNNNNNNNNNNNNNNNNNNNNNNNNNNNNNNNNNNNNNNNNNNNNNNNNNNNNNNNNNNNNNNNNNNNNNNNNNNNNNNNNNNNNNNNNNNNNNNNNNNNNNNNNNNNNNNNNNNNNNNNNNNNNNNNNNNNNNNNNNNNNNNNNNNNNNNNNNNNNNNNNNNNNNNNNNNNNNNNNNNNNNNNNNNNNNNNNNNNNNNNNNNNNNNNNNNNNNNNNNNNNNNNNNNNNNNNNNNNNNNNNNNNNNNNNNNNNNNNNNNNNNNNNNNNNNNNNNNNNNNNNNNNNNNNNNNNNNNNNNNNNNNNNNNNNNNNNNNNNNNNNNNNNNNNNNNNNNNNNNNNNNNNNNNNNNNNNNNNNNNNNNNNNNNNNNNNNNNNNNNNNNNNNNNNNNNNNNNNNNNNNNNNNNNNNNNNNNNNNNNNNNNNNNNNNNNNNNNNNNNNNNNNNNNNNNNNNNNNNNNNNNNNNNNNNNNNNNNNNNNNNNNNNNNNNNNNNNNNNNNNNNNNNNNUGUUGGGAUCAGAAUUGAUAAAGGAAGAAGGCAGAAAGCUUUUCUUUAUAUAUUAUUAUUUGCUGGCUUAAUUUACAACUGAUCCAUCUAGUCUUUAUAUAGAUAGACUAGGAAGACUAUGAGUUUAGAUCAUUAAUAAGGUUCAUGAAUAAGUUCAGGAGACCUUCCAUUGCUUACAUUGAAUAUUUGACUCAUUACUUAUAACUAGAAUCAUCUAGACUCUUAGAGAUAAUUCAAGAGAAUUACAAAUUAACUUAUUUUUAACACCCCCUCUUAAUUUGUAAUUCCUAAACUUUCCUUGAAUUUUGUAAAUUUCUCAGUUGAGACUGAUUUUGUGAAAAUAUCAGCAACUUGCUCAUUUGUGUUGAUGAACUUUAGCGAAACUUCUCCAUCUUGCACCAGAUCCCGAAUAAAGUGAUGACGUAGCUCAAUAUGUUUGGUGCGGCUAUGAAAGACAGGAUUUUUAGUCAUUGCAAUUGCUGACAUGUUGUCACACAAUAAAUUUGUUGGGAUCAUUCUGAAGUGAUGGUUGAGAUGUAUUGUUCUGAAAGUUCCACUGUUUUGUUUCAUCAAAAAUUACAUCUCUGGAGAUCACAAAUUUCUUUGUGGCAGGAUUAAAGAGACGAUAGCCUUUUGAUUCUUCGCUGUAGCCAAGAAAUAGCAGCUUCUCUCCUUUCUCAUCAAAUUUCUCUCUGUGUUGUGCUGGAAUAUGAGAAUAGGCGAUGCAUCCAAACACUUUGAGUUGAUGUACUUCUGGUUUCUGCUUAUACCAAGCUUCAUAAGGCGUUUUAUUGAACACCGCCUUUGUUGGAGAGAUAUUCAGAAGAUAGAUAGCUGUGCAAACAGCUUCUGCCCAGAAAAUAUUUGACAAACCUUUUGCUUUUAACAUGCUUCUGGCCAUCUCGACUAUUGUCCGAUUCUUCCGUUCUGCAACGCCGUUUUGUUGAGGACUAUACCUUAUCGUUAGCUGCCUCCUUAUACCUUUUUCUUUGCAGUAAUUAAGAAAGGGUUGAGAUAAAUACUCCCCACCACGAUCAGUCCUGAGUGUCUUUAUUUUUCUUCCACUUUGAUUUUCCACCAACGCCUUGAAGUGAAUAAAUGAGAUGAACGCCUCAGAUUUUUGCUUCAGAAAAUACACCCACAUCAUUCUAGUGUAGUCAUCCACAAACAAGAGAAAAUAUUUGCUGCCAUUGAGUGAAGGAGUCCUUGAUUCACAUAUAUCAGAGUGAACCAGUUCUAAUGGAGCCCUUGCUCUCCAGGCUGUUUUCGGGAACGACAAUCUGUGCAUCUUUCCAUAUAUGCAACCUUCACAGACUUUAUUGAUUUUGGAGAUACAUGGCAGGCCUAUAACCAUGUUUUUAUCUUUCAAUAGCUUAAGACCAUUGAAGUUGAGAUGCCCGUAUCUUAGAUGCCAUAUAAAUGAAUCAUCAUUCUGCUCAACUUUUAACGCAACAUUACCUUCCAAUGGCAUAGAUAAUGGAAAGGUUUUAUUUGAAAUCAUUUUAACUCUUGCCACUGUAAAUUUCUUCUUCUUAUCAAAAAUAACACAAUGCUCAUCAUCGAAAUUUAUUGAGAAACCUCUUUGCAUCAGUUGGCCAAUACUCAACAAAUUUUGAGUUAAUUCAGGAACGUAGUGAACAUCAGCGAUGUUUAGAGUCAUACCUUCUUUAGAGCAGAAUGUAAUGAUGCCUUUUCCUUCAAUUUUCAGCAUUUUUCCAUCUCCAAUCUUUACUUCAGAUUUAUGGCUUUCAUCAAGCUCUGAAAAAAGCUCCUUGCUGCCUGUCAUGUGAUUGCUACAAGCGCUAUCAAUAUACCACUUCUUUUGCUGCACUUGCUGGUCAUUCAUACAUGAAAAAGUCACAUGUGUCUCUUCACUCUCCUCCGAAAAAUUUGCAUUUGCUUGAGUUCUGUUUUGGAACCAGCAGUCUCUCUGAGAAUGGUUAGAAACUUUGCACCUUUUGCAUCUGAAUUUGCAAUUUUUUGACUCAUGAUUUGAUCGCUUGCAGAUGAUACAUUUGAAAUUGUUGAAGUUGCUUCUUUGAUUAAAAUUUCGCGUUCCUCCUCUUCCUUGAAAAUUCUGAUUCCUUUUCUAGUAUUUUGAUUCCUGCUGUAGUUUCUUCGUGCUUCGUUUUCCUGAUUUACUUCACCGUUUUUGUUGCUUAUGCUGAUAUUUGCUUGAAAAGCUUGCUCCAGGGGCUGAUUUGAGAAUCUGCGAAUUCUUUCCUCGUUAGCUUCAAGAGCGCCCAUAAGUUCAUCCACCGUUAAUUUGGACAAGUCCUUAGAAAUUUCAAUCGCUGCUACUACAUGCUCGAACUUCGCUGGCAGGCUUCUUAAAAUUUUAUGAACAACUUUUUUAUCAUCCAAAGUAUCUCCAUAACUUCGAAUCUGAUUAAUGAUUGUUGACACCUUAGAGAAGAAGUCCUGAAUACUUUCACUUUCUUUCAUCUGCAGGUUGUCAAAUUCUCUCCAUAGCGAUUGCAGCUUUACUGAAAUUACUGCUUCAUAGCCUUGAAACUGAUUCCGCAAAAGAUCCCAUGCUUCUUUUGACGUUUUUGCACCCAUAAUACGUGGAAAUAUUGCUUUACUGACUCCUUGCUGAAUAAAGAGUAAAGCCCUGGCAUCUUUCUUCUUAUUAUUCUUAAAUUCAUUCUGCUUAGCCGCUGACCAGGAUGCAAUUUCUUCUUGCGUUGCUCCAGCUUCAUAGCCAUCUUCUACCAAGUCCCAUAAGUCAUGAGAGAUGAAUAACGUCUUCAUCUGGAUGCUCCAGAAGUCAUAGCUUUCACCGUUAAAAAUAGGAAUACUGCUUUGCGCAUAGUUGAAUAACACUUCACUAGAUGCUGCCAUUACAUAUAUAAGAGGGUUUAUGAAACUUAAGUGUUUUGGAGGUCUGGAAUGAACCUGGCUCUGAUACCAAAUUUGUUGGGAUCAGAAUUGAUAAAGGAAGAAGGCAGAAAGCUUUUCUUUAUAUAUUAUUACUUGCUGGCUUAAUUUACAACUGAUCCAUCUAGUCUUUAUAUAGAUAGACUAGGAAGACUAUGAGUUUAGAUCAUUAAUAAGGUUCAUGAAUAAGUUCAGGAGACCUUCCAUUGCUUACAUUGAAUAUUUGACUCAUUACUUAUAACACUACUAGAAAAGCGGGCAUUUCCGACCAAAAUUUCCGACCGACCACAGUGGUCGGAAAAAAAGCGGACAUUUCCGACCGACUUACCGACCAAACACGAUCGGUCGUAAAAAAUGGCUUCAUUUACGACCGCCAUUACCGACCGCACCAAAUCGGUCGGUUAUAAUGGGCGUGGGUCCCGCUCACCAACGUUCUUCAGCUGACAUGGACGCCACGUCGGUAAAACCGACCGACACAUUUCCGACCGCCUAUGGUCAUUUCCGACCACCUUGACAGGUUUAAAAUAAUUGGUCAGCUUUUAACUUGUUGUCGACUUGUGAUUGGCUAAGUGGGGACGAGGUGGAGUCCUGAUUAUUUCCGACCGAUUUUGGCGGUCGGAAAUGGCCUGCUUCGUUUCCGACCGAAUUAAAACCCGGGGGGUCGGUUUUGACUUCUUAGAAAAACAAUAAAUCCUAUUCGAUUAAGUAAACUAUUCAAAAAAACUAAAAACAUUGUACAUCCAGAAAACCGACCACAUUCAAUAUAUUUCCGACCAAACUCAUAAUUUUAACACAGAAAACCGACCACAUGCAACACAUUUCCGAGCAAACUCAUAAUUUUAACACAGAAAACCGACCAAAUUGAACUCAUUUCCGACCAAAAACUCAAGUGCAGAAAACCGACCAUUUCGUUCUGUCAUUUCCGACCGAUUUACGACUCUGGCGGUCGGUUAUGACUUUUGAGAAAAACUAAAAAAUUAUUCGGCUAAGUAAACUUUAAAAAAAAUCGAAACUAGCUUUUAGUCAGUUAAUAAAUUAAUAAAAAAUUAUUCAUCACUUAAUAUUUGAUUUUUAAAUUUUUUUAUUUCCUUAACAAAAUAUAUUUACUGACUAACUAAUUUCAAAUUAAUUAUUCAAACAGCAGAAAAAUGUAGAAUCUUUGUGAUAUGGUCUACUUUAAGGUACUAAUCAUGAUAGCAAAAGAAGAAAAAUAUAAAAAAAAUUAUAAAGACACUAUUCUGUUACGAAUCAUGCAUUGCAGUGAAUGUCAGAGUUCAGGAUUUGGAUUUUUUUAGAAGUUAUCCUAGGGUGUAUACUUUCGAAAUAUCAAUUUGUUUUUUAGGCGAUCCAACCGUACGGAUCGUUAAUUAAGUAGUCAUAGUAGUUGUAUACCAAAAAUUAAAUCAAUAGGAUUUUAUCCGCUGAGAUAUUAUAAUGAAAAUAUGAUGUUAUACUUAAAUAUAGACGUAGGGUUAAUUUUUUACAAAAAAAUAAAUUUGUUUUUUAGGCGAUCCAACCGUACGGAUCGUAAAUUAAGUACUCAUCGUAGUUAUAUACCAAAAAUCAAGUCAAUAUGAUUUUAUUUGUUGAGAUAUUAUAACGAAAAUAUUAUGUUAUUCUUAAAUAUAGACGUAUGGUUGUUUUUUUUAUAAAAAAAUAAAUUUGUUUUUUAGGCGAUCCAACCAUACGGAUCGUAAAUUAAGUACUCAUCGUAGUUAUACCAAAAGUCAAGUCAAUAGGAUUUUAUUUGUUGAGAUAUUAUAGCGAAAAUAUUAGGUUAUACUUAAAUAUGAACGUAGGGUUAUUUUUUUUUAAAAAAAAUAAAUAAUUCAUUUAAAUGAUCCAACCGUACGGAUAUGAAUAAAAUUACUUAACUUUUAUUGGUCCUUAAAAUCAAUCAUUUUGAACAUUAGUUGAAGGAAUAUUAUAAUGAAAAUUAAUUUUUUAUAUAUUUUAUUUUGUAAAAUAAAGGUAGGUAUAUAUAUAAGUCCCUUCAAUUUUAACUUAAUGUUGUGGCUGGUCUGAUGGUUGAGCACUGUAAUUGACACUCAGGGGUCGCGGGUUCGAUUCCGCGUAUUUUUGGCUUUCCCGUGUUCUUUUUUCACGAAAAGUUAAACCCCCGCCCAGCUUAAACGACGUCGGUUUUGCGUGUAUACGGCGUCGUUCUCUUUUAUUUCGAUUAAAACCCUCCUAACAUCUCGAUCAGUUAUCUCCCCCAGCUCUCUCCUCUCUCUGGUCUCGUCCCCCAGCUCUCUCCCCUCUCUGGUCUCGUCUCUCUCAACUCUCUCUCUCUCGCAUCUCUCGGCUCUCUCUCUCUGUAACCCUCUCUCUCUGUAAGCUCUCUCUCAGCCUCUCUCUCCAUGUACACUAUAUGCUUAUUUUGGGGUUUAUCAUAAGGUUUAUACUUUAUACAUGUGUUAUAGUUUAUGCUCUAUAUGUAUAGUUUAUGGUCGUAUAUCUCUCUGUACACUAUGCUUAUUUUAGGUUUUUGAUUUUUUUUUUUGCUCUGAUUUGUUGUAAUUUGCUUUAAUCUGGUUCCUAUAUGUUUAUAUUUGCUUUAAUCUGGCUGAAGUUUAGUUGUUUUAGUUUUAUGAUCUGUUUAUAUGAUUCUUUUUGCUCUGUUUUUGUAUCUGGCCUAAUCUGUCAUGUGCUUGCUCUAUUUGUGUUUGUGUUUUAGUUGUUUUGUAUGUUUGUGUAUGGAUUUGUGGGUGUUUUGUGCACGUAAUUAAUAUGGGUGUUUGGUUUAAAGUAUUUGUGGGUGUUUUGUUAUUGAAUUUAUGUUAUUGUACUAUGGAUUACAAGCUUAUAACUAGCUAGGAUUGCCGUGUGUUUAAAGUAUUUGUGGUUGUGUACUUAAUUUACAACUACGAUCAAUAUAUAAAACUUGAAAGUGUAGUGAAUAAGUCUGAUUGUUAAGUGUUGGUUCAGAAUGAUUCCGUUAAGUCUGUGAUCGUUAUCAUGUCAAAAUACACUAGAGAGAAAAUUACAAUAAAGAGUUUGUAAGUACAAAUGUAAGUUAGAAAUCUCAGACCAAAUCAUAUGCCAAAGAGUUUGUAAGUACAAAUGUAAGUACAUUUGUGUUCUUGUCAAAAAUGUUAUUUCCCUGUAAUAUAAUAUACUGACAAUUUGUAAAAAUUGAAAUAAUAUAGUGAAGUGAGAAAGAGAAAGAGAAAACUCAGGCGUGACUUGAAAAAGUAUGUUUGUGCUUGUCAAUUUUUAACAUGGAGAUUUGGUUUGGUUUAUGUGGAACUUACUUUGUCAUGCAUGACUUGGUGUCUGUAAGUUUGAAAAUAAAAUUCAAACUAUGGAAAAUUACUUGAUAUGUUAAAAAUAUAUUGAUGAUAUUUGUGACUUUCUCUAAAAAGGAUUUCUUUUUAUGGAAACUAAGGAUUUGUAAUAUAAUAUAUAUUUGAUUUUUGUAUAGUCCAGUUGUUUAAUUAAUUUCCAAGAUAAUAUAUUGUGGCUUCCUGCGAUUUCUUUGUAGCAAAUUGUCUUUUGAUGUGUAUCAGGUUUUGCUCGAUUUGGGUUGAACUCUAUGUGUGCAGGUUUUUCCAAUAGUAUGUUAAUGCACCUAUUGCUUCUAGUAUUUUACACUUUAAUAAAUAAUUUUUCAAUUAGUAGUAGAUGCAUAUGCAGCAACUCUGAUAAGCUUACUGUUAAGUCUGAGUUCAAUGAAAUGCUGCCACAUCAGCAUAUGCCAGCUGGCUAAGUUUGUUAGGCUGAUUAGUUAGUUACAAGUUGCACGAUUGUGGGUGUAUAUUGUUGCUUCUUUUCUAUUCUGUAAAAAUAGUUCUCAGUUCUAUUUGCUCAAGUAAUGAAAUCUCUCUGUUUCUCUCCUCUUUUAUGCUGUUAGCUACAUUUUGUAACAACCUCCAACACGCCUUUCUAUAUAUAUCAGUACAAUUGACUAUAUAGUUAAAAGAUGAUCUGCUGAAUUAUAGCUAUUAGCAUAGAUAUUAUGAUCUUCAGGACUAAUGUUGAAACUUGAAACUAAAACCACUCUAGACUUGCAAGGAAUUAAGGAUCAUGCAGUGUUCUGCGAAUUUGUUGGACAGCUGAAAUAUUUGUUAAUAAUUCUUACUAAACUAUUUCACAAAUUCUGAGCCUAUCGAUAACAUCUGAGUAAUUAACAAAUUUAACCUAUAAGAUCGAUGAGGAACGAAGCAUCAAUUAGUUCCCAUCUCCAUUUUUCACCCUCAUUGACAAUUUGCUAGCAAACUUGCUUAAAUGUUCUUUGUCCCUAGACAGAGGUAAAACAAGCCUCUGUCAAGCUCCUAUCUUUAACCUGGAACUAAAACUCACUAGGUUUCCUGUUUUAUUAAUCCAGAUAAAGAAUCCAAUGAAGUUAUCGAUCCUAAAGGCCCAAAGUAGUAGAAUUCAUUUCAAUUUAUAACUAUAUAUAUAGAAUGUAAUGGACUAUGCAAUCAAAUAAUAUUUAAAUCUUAUGAGAGAGCUGAAUACAAACCACAUAUCAAAGCAUGACAAUAUAAAUGACAAUUUUCAUUGAUAACUAUAUUAUCUCUUACUAAAGCAGUGUGCAUGACAUGUAUUCAUGCUCUUCUAAUAGAUGUUGCUUCUUACAGAACAGGGCCUGAUUUUUGAAUAGUUCAUCAGUUUUCCCUUGUAUCUGCUUCAUUUCACUUUUUGUUUAAUUUUCUAAUGCAUUUAUAAUUUAAUAUAUACAUGUGGCCUGGUAGCAAUAAGUUGUUAUGAAUCUGCCGUGGUUGUUUCAUUGACUAACAUAAGUUGACUAACUAUAUAUAUCAUUGUUCAUGUAUAGGCUAUGGCGCCAAAAAAGACAAAGGCAAAAGGAAUGGCUAUUUCUCAAAGGAUGAUAAUGGUGAUUGCGAUGAGGAAGAUUGAAAUGAAGCUACCUAGCUAGAUGCAUUAUUGGUAGGGAUGCUGAUUUUGUUAAAACAUUGCUUUUGUCUUUUGAUUGUUCAGCUGUAACGUAUAUGAUUGUUGGCUUUUGCUAGCUUUUGGCUGAUUGUUUAGCUGUAACAUUUAUGUCGUACAUAAUUUUAUAACUGUCCUUUUGUAAAUAUAUGAAUGCUUGUUGGCUUUUAAAUUAUGUUGUACUGAAUUUUAAUGGAUAUGAUUCUUUAUUUUGGUUUUGAAAUUGGAUAUUGUAUGUGCAUUGUUGGUUUGGUAAAAUAACAGGGAUAUGGUAUAGUUUAUAAUGUAAAUACUGCAAUUUUUUGAAAUUUUAUCUCCAGAAAACCGACCAAAUUUGAUCAUUUCCGACCAAGAAUGGUAAAAAAGAACCCAGAAAACCAACCAGAUGUAUACAUUUCCGACCAAAUUCAUAUCCUAAAACCCAGAAAAACGGCCAACUCAUUUCUGACCAACUCAUUUCUGACCAGAUGUAUGCAAUUUGGGUGGUCGGUUUUAGCCCAGAAGCUCCCCCAAUAGACCCUGAAAGCCAUUUCCGACCAACUCAUUUCCGACCACUGGGUGGUCGGUUUUAGCCCAGAAGCUCAUCCAAUGGACCCUGAAAAGGCAUUUCCGACCGACUCAUUUCCGACCACAAUGUGGUCGUUUUUACAACUGGGCCCCACAGCUGAGCCCUGAACUUCUUUACCGACCAACACAUUUCCGACCGUCAUUGGUCGGUUUUGAGACAAUCCACGUGUAUGACACGUCAACAGUGGGCCAGAUUUAUCUGAUACAAUCCACGUGUACAUGGACAUGGCAACACAUUUCCGACCGACAGAAUUGGUCGGUUAUAUAACUCAUUUCGGACCGAUACGUCAUUUCCGACUCGGUUUAAAGGGACCGACGUGGUCGGUCGGUCGGUGGUCGGAAAUGACCUCAAAACCGACCGAUUUUGCUUAUUUCCGACCGAUUUUGGCGGUCGGAAAUGCCCGCUUUUCUUGUAGUGAGAUAAUUCAAGAGAAUUACAAAUUAACUUAUUUUUAACAAAUUAGUCUGUAUAAAUUUGAGUCAUACGGAUGGAUUUGAGUUAUGAUGCAAUUGAAUAUUUGAAUCCAAAUUAGUCUGUAUAAAUUUGUUACGUUUUCCAGUAUUUGAUUCUAAGCGCAAAUUAUAAGCUUUAGCGAGAAUUACUGACGCCCCUAAACCGAUCGAAUAGUGCUUCGUUUAUCUAGUGAGUUUAUUUCUUUUAGCUAGUGAAUCUUAUCUUCUAAUGAAAUUAACAUCGAUCGCGAAACUUUAUGAGAUAAUAGGCCUCCCGAGUCAUAUAUAUUUAAAACUAAUUGUUGUGGUAAUAAUUUGUAGUUGUCACUAAUCAAUUACAGAUAAAUAAUGAAUGAUUACGAGAACAAUUGGCGUGGUCUAUUUAGGAACCUCAAUUUCAUUUGAGAUUUUAGAUUUGAACAAAUAAUAUGUUUUGAAAUAUGGAUUUGAAUUUUAUUUGAAUUGUCAUUUGAUCUCAAUCAUUUGAAAUGAAACGCAAAUUUUACUGUUAUUAAUGUAUGUAAGUUUAGAAAGAACAGUAGUUAAUGACGUGUCAUGAGCAAAUCUUUGCAUGCAGAAUAUAUAAGUCCUUGAAAACACGUCCAUGCAUGUAUAACUUUUGCUAGAUAGCAACAGUAAAUGUGUAAUACAUGGAUAACUCAUACACUGAUUUAUUACAGCAUAUAGUACUACUUGCUCAUAACCUAUUUUAGCCGAAACAUAAGAGGUAAUGAGCUUAUAGAUACAUACACUCGUAACAUUAUUAUUUUCAGCAGUUCUUAUUUAUUGUAAUUACACUACAUGACGUCUUAGUUUCCGGUAUUCUCAACUGGAGGGUGUCCAGGGUGGUGACCGUAUGGAGGAUUAGGCUUAUGUGUAGGCGGUGGCCUCACGACGAUUGGUGGCAAGUGUGGUGGCUUAUGUUCUGGCACAGGCUUCUCAGUCUUCGGUGGUUGGUACACCGGGCUCGGCUUGUGCUCCCCUGUCGCUGGCUCGUGAACCGGAGGUUUAUGCUCUGUUGGUGGCUUGUGAACCGGUGGCCUGUGAAUCGGUUGUGGUUUAUGAAUAGGAUGGGCCGGGUAAUGAUCAUCGGUUAAGGAGGGAGUGUUGUGAACCGGUGGUUUGUGAAUUGGUGGCUUGUGAACGGGUGGUUUCUGCUCUGGUGCUGGCUUCUGAACAGGUGGUUUGUACACUGGUGGCUUGUGAAUAGGGUAAUGAUCUUCAGUCACGGAGUUGGUUGCUUCCACCGGAGGUUUAUAUUCGGAAGGUGGUUUGUGAACGGGUGGUGUAUAAACUGGUGGCUUGUGAACGGGUGGUGUAUAAACGGGAGGCUUGUGAAUUGGUGGUUUGUGAACGGGUGGUGUAUAAACGGGAGGCUUGUGAAUUGGCGGGUGAGAAUGAAAAUCGGCUAGGGAUGGAGCUGCGAAAAUCGCAACUCCUAAAAUGAGGAGUAGGUUCAUGUGUGUGAGAGACAUCUUGAUAACCGACGAGGUGAGAGUGUUGAUGUUGUAUUUUCCUCAUGCAGUGAUUGGGUUUUUAUAGGAGUUGAUGGACACUGUUCGGCUGGAUUGAUCGUCAACAAGUUUGAAUUAUUUUGCUUUUAGACGUAGAGGAUGUAGAGAAUUUCAACAUUGAGAUUAGGACAUGUUGAAAAUAUUGAUGCUUGUUGUUUUUAUUCAUGAAAAAGAUGAGGUUUGCUUAUAGUACAGUUGUGUCGAAAUAUUGGACUGCAUAUCAAAGCUUGCCACGUCCAUCCUAGGACACUGAUCAUAAAAUCUGAACAGAUAUGAAAAUCAAGAAAAUUGAAAGAAAACAUUUGAACUCGGGCGCCAAAGAAAUUUUACUAUGUAGAACUUAUCAUUUUUCAUAUAUUAUUUAACAAAAACCGACUUGCAAAAUAGCAAGUGAAUUAGGUGAUAUGCUCAAGUACGCACAGAAGAGUGAGGGAACCGACAGAAUUUUGGCUGUAUGCAUGAAUGUGAAACUGGGACUAGUCAGUGAGGACUGAGGAGUGUCUAAUUGUCAAAAUAAACGACUAGGAUUACUGACCACAUAUCUAUACCAUACAGUAUAUAGGUACGAAGAAGACAAAAUAAGAAAAAAUCACAUGGACAAACACCGGAGCCUAGUGCUGUAAUCCGAUCCGGGCAGCUCGCGAGCUCGCCCGGCUCGAACUCGUUUUAAUGGGCUCGGCUCGGCUCGUUUAGUUAAUCGAGCUCGAGUUCGGGCAGAGGUUUUGGCUCGUUUUGUUAAACGACUCGCCCGACUCGUUAAACUCGGCUCGUUUAACUAAACGAGCCAGCUCGACUCGACUCGUGAAAAUAAACGAGUCGAGUUCGGGCAAAGGUGUAGGCUCGUUUUCUUAAACGAGCCGGCUCGGCUCGACUAAAUAAAACUCGGCUCGAAUUAUGCCCGGCUUGAAACUCGGCUCGCCCGGACCGAAUAACAACCCUACCGGAGCCUGUUGUGCUGGCGUAAACACAAACAGGCUCAAACAUCUUCAACGGAUUAAAAAUUACGAAUGUUAUACUUUUAUACAGGAAAAAAAAUCCUAAAAAUAAGUAAUAUAACCAUACUUUAUUGAAGCACUAAAAUCCGUUUCGCGCUCUCGUGUCCCCAUGUAUACUAUUGGCUGGACGGAGAGAGUAAUUUUGAUCAACUAAUUAAUCAUGUGAUACCCUAAAUUAUAAUUUUGAUUAAUAAAUUAGUCGUGUAAUAUCUUAAAUUAUAAUUUUGAGCUAUGUCAAAAAUUUGUUCCAGUAAAGUUCUUAUUCAUUUCUAAACAUAAUAUAAUUGAAUACCAUCAGAUUUUAAAGUAUAAUUUAAAUUUUCAAUUAAACACUCGUAGAUUAUGUUACAUUUUUAUAAUCUGAAUCAAAUAUCCUCAGAUUUCAUGAAUGAAAAAUAUAUUUUAAAAUUAUAAUUGAAUACAACCCAUAAGUUCAGCGUAAAUGUAAAACUUACAUGAGGUUAGUGUAAAUGAUUCAUCCCGGAUAUUUGAGAUAACCAUUAACCAAACUAGUUGCAGAAGUGAUGAUACGACAUCAAUAUAAAAUUUAAAUUUCAUUUGAAUCUGUAUUUGAUCAAAUAAUAUAUUUGAAUAUAUAAGGACGAAUUUGAAUUUUAGUUGAAAUUCAGAAGAUCCAAAUGCUAGUAUAAAGUUGAAAAUAUGAAAUGACUUAAAAUUAUGUCAUUUGAAAUAAAAUAGAUAUUUCAGAAUACAAUCUUAAAGAAUUAUGCGAUCUUUUGCGGACUGAAAAACCAAGGCAGCCUAUUGCUGUCAAAAAACAGAGAGCUCAAACAUGGUUGGAUUCCCAAGUUGAAGUCUUUUGAUAGUAGAUGAUAGCAUUUCCUUGUGGCAGGUAAAUGGAAUUUGUGAAAAUUGAUCUUUCUCUUCUCUCUGUGUCUUGGCUCAAAGGCUGCUGCCAGCUUGACUCAACUCUGUGAUAUAUAGUAAAUUUGAAUUAAAGAGGAAUAAUAAAAUGUUGUCAAGUAGUGUUUUCUUUCUCUUUUCUGUUUGUCAAAACUUAAGAGUUGAGAACAAAAUUGAUGAGAAGAAAUUAAAAUCUUAGAGUUGAUAUCCUCAUCCCAUUAAGAUCCUUGUUCACGAACUUUAAAUAGAACUGCUGCAACAAAUUCAUACUAUUCAUUCAUCAAAUCCUACGUUGAAUUCAAACAAAUUUGAACUACAGCCCUCAUCAAUUUAGGAAUGAAUAGUUCCCAUCUCUACUUAUCUUCUUUGCUGAAAAAUUUGCACUCUUUUAACACUAAAAACUAAAUUUACCACCUGAUUUUAUUGGUACCAACCUAGCUAAAGAUACACACUUUCCUAACACAACUAGCUGAUAAUAAGAACAAGAGCAUAUGAAAUAAAUAGUACUCCCUCCGUCCCUUUUUACUUGUCCCUUUUGGAAAAAAAACGCAUCUUAAGAAAAUGUUAGUUGGAUAUCUUGUUUUCAUACAUAUCCCUAAUAAAUGUAAUGAAUUAGAUAGAGUUGUGUGUAUAUAUAUGUUAGUCAAACAUUGAAAGUUGUUACUUUUUGAAAAAACAUACAAAAAGUUGCUUUGAAAAGAGAAGUGGACAAGUAAUUUGGGACAAUUUUUUUUUUCAAAGUGGACAUAUAAAAAGGGACGGAGGGAGUAUGCUACUGAGCUAUUCCCUUGAGCUGAAGAGCCCACUCUACCCGAGCAACGGUUGGGCUCACCCAGAAUCCCAACAGCUUCACUUCCUCUGGAUUUUCUUCAGGACGCAGUGCGACAGAAUGCACUUUCAACGAUAGAUUAAAAUCAUAUAGAACAGUGUUAAGUAUGAAGCUGUUUAUGUGACACCCAAAUUGAGUUGGAAAAAAAAAAGGAGUAAACAUGCUGCAUGAGCAAACAUAACCACUUACAUCCUCCGCAUUACAGGACGAAAAUAGUAUCUUUACGGAAACCUAACUGUGCCAAUUCCAGAAGUACGAAACUGAAAGAAAUAUGAGCUCCAGCUAUGAACAAUGGAAAACCACUUACCCUACCUGUUUGCCUGAACUAGUCUCCGCAUCUAUUUCUACAUGGCUUUGCUGCUUCAGAUCAGAAGAUACUGAACACGAUUGUGGAACUGAAAAGGAAGUCAUGCUGCAAGUUGCUUGUUUCUUUGCGGAAGAGGAUACAGCUGUGGAACACAAGUCAUCAUCUAUCUUUGAAGUCUCGCCUUCACUGUUACUGAUUUGCAUGUUCCGUUGAUGUUGUUCUUCUUCAAGAGGUAGUAAUCUCUUGCGACUAGAGAAGCCAUUCUUGAAAUUUUGCAUGGAAGGUACCUGUUGGUCGUGGGAGGAGGCCGCAGAGCAAGGAGCCUUCUCCUUUAGAACAACCUUUGGAAUCACUAAAUUGUCAAUGCAAUCAGAGUUAUCACCAACUUCAUCAGUCCCAUCAGAUUUCUCUGCUCUUGCAACAGCUUCUCUCUCCCUCAUGAUCAAUAAAGCCUCAGUUAGGCGUUCUCUUGCUAAAUCGAUAUCAACAAUAGGCACUGGAUAGUUUAAUCCCAAUUCCACUCCUGCAGAUCUAAGUACACUAGGAGGUGCAUCCCAAGGAUGAUGAAUCCACUCGGAGGGCAUCCUUGCUAGUUCAGGCAGCCAUUGCCUCACAUAUUCACCCUCUGGAUCAAAUUUAAAUCCCUGAACCUGGAUCGUAAUUGAAGAACAAUUAAGAUCUGAGGUCUCAACAAAAAGCAGUGUAAAAUUACUUCCAUCUAGUAAGGUAUAGCUCAGUAUAGCAUCAACAACAAAGUGACUUAUUUUUAUAAGUAUCCUACUUGAUAUUAGUAUUUUCAAUAAGCUUAUUUGAAUCCCCCAUGACAAAAAAGAGAAGCAAUCACCAUAGUACCUUCAAGCUUUCUGUAACUCAAAAAUAUAUUUUCCCUCCCAUUUAGUUAUCUCCUCAGGCAUGAGUCUCAUAAGGAAACUCUUCAUUUGAAAAGAUUUUCUUUCAGUGCAAAAAUGUAACUAUACAAGGCAGAAGUGUCAAAGAAGAUCAGUCAAUUUAAUUGUAUACGGAUUCAGUAUAAAGGAUUAGAAAACAACACACUGUCAAACCAUUCUGAAAUUGUGAGUGCCUGUUCUUCCAAAAAUGAUUUUAUUAUAACAAACUUACGAUUCAUCUCUUAAAAACACUACAACCCUUCAAUAAUCAAAAAAUCAGAAACCUGACAUAAACUAAAACUAUACAUGUGAUAUUUCUUUGUGCUAAUUAGGCAUACUUACUUAAUUUUUCAAUAUAUACACAAUAGGAGCAUUGUAAAAUAUAGCCUGUAUAGGAAGGGAAUUAACGUGUACCUGUGGGCUAUCUAGACGCUCAAGCUCAUGUCCAUCUGGCAAGCUACCUGAUAUGUACUGCCAGCCAAGAAUAUCAGUUUCCAAAUCUGAGUCCAGAAGGGUAUCCCAGAAAUAUUUCAUUCCCCAUUGCCAUGGUAGAAGCAAAAACUUUACAAAAAACCCAGAAACAAUCACUCUUAUCCUAUUGUGCAUCCACCCAGUUGCCCAAAGCUCUCUCAUACCUGCAUCAACUAAUGGAUAACCAGUACGACCCUGUCUCCAAGCCUUAAAAUGGGCUUGAUCUGCUUUCCAGGGGAAAUACUUUAGGUUGCUCAGCAAUGAUCUUUCAUGAGUAAAUGGGUAGUUAAAACAAAUGUAGCGAGAAUAUUCUCUAAAACCUAUAGCCCGAAGAAACAGUGAAACACUUUCUUGUCCAACACAAUUCCCUUCUUUUGCCCACAGUAAUUGCUUCAUGCGCACACACUGGAAUACUCUCCUCACACUCAUUUCCCCAAAAUGAAGAUAUGGUGAAAAGAGCGACGUUGUGUUCCCUGCAACUGUUGCCCUCUCCUUUGAGUAGUCGAUCAGAUUUUCUUCUACGAAUGCCGAUAGAGCCUUAUCAGCAUUGCUCCAACCAGGAGACCAUCCUCUUCCUAAUAAAGCAUUGCUAGCUUUUUCCAUUUCAUUUUCAAGCCCCAGAUCAUCAAUUGAGCAAUUGUCUACUAUUCCUGUCAUUUGCACAUUGGAAUCCACACUUAAAUUGCGCAGCUAUAUACUGAGUUUAUUUUAUCUUCUUCUAAUGCUAUAAUACUCUAUUGCUUUAGGAAUACAAUUAUGUAUCAUCAUGAAUUUGUCCAUAUUAUGGCUGGCAAUGGGGUCAAAAUUUAAUUAGAAGAAAGCAUGCAAAUUUGACAAGAUUGCACAGUGAGAGUACCUUCAACAGGAACUAAUCGCCAUGGAGGAAGAUGUGAAUCGGGUUCUUUUUGCAUGCUUAAGCACCUCGUCCAGUAUGCAUCAAAGGUUGUAAAGGCAUGUCCUUCAUUAUCGUAUAUUUCCCAUGGUUCAUACAAUAGAUCUCCAUUGUAGCUUUGCACUGAUAUACCAAGCUCCCCAAGCUUUUGUUUGAUAGUGUGAUCUCGAACAAGUGAAACAGGAUCUGGAUAAUAAUUAAAAAGCCAGAGACAAUAAGAUAAACCUAGAGACUGCAAUUUGUUGGGAGGGGGAUAUGUACUACACUUUUUGAUGUCAUAGUAAGCAAUUGAGCUUCUAUAUAAACAGUAUUCUGUAUUUAUGUGCAUGUCAAGACAGAUGCAUGAAUAACAUAUGCUUUCUAGUUGAAGGCUUACAAAAUACUAUUCUCUUCUUCAUAUGAUAUGACCCACAAACAAUGCACUUCAGUAACAGUGUGCAUACACCAUAAUAUGCUUAAGCAACUUCGAUUUGAAAUUAAUUACUUGAGACUCCACAAUGCACUGUUUUUAGUGUGUAUGAUUCGUUAGGAGCACAUGUUACUGCAGCACUUAUUAGGCUAUAUCUCAUACAUUUCCAUUCAAAUCCCAUGUUUGUUUAAAAGUUUAGUAUCACUUCUGCAUAAUUGAUAUCUGUAUAAGCUCGUAUGCUAUUAUACAGUUAUACCCUCUCCUUGUGACCUUAACUACAAAGUCUUUCCGGAUAAAUAUGUUCAAAGCAAUAGAUUACAACUCACCUUAUAAUAGGAAAUAUAUGCUCUCUAGUCUAUGAGAUUAGUGUGAUCAUGUUUUCAUGCCAAGCUUCGGACAUUUAUCAGGUCUUUUUAGUAAAUUCAAUCACCCUACUUUAGCAUUCUAGCAUUGUAGGAGAUUCGUAGAGUUAGUGAGUCAUCAUAUUUCACAAAGUUUAUGUAAUCUAGCCAUUAGUUGAGGUCACAGUAUCACACAAAAUAUAUACACAAAUGCUAGAUGAAGUGAUAACUUUACUAUACAUAUGUUGAAAUCAAAACAACCAAGUCAUAACAAAAAGAUAGUUCAGGACUUUGAUCUCAUAUAUGAAUCGAAUAACAAUUUGUUGUCAAGGCUCAGUCUUAGAGUAUGUUACCGCACUUAAGUUCCAUAGCAAGAAGGGAAGUAUAGACUUCUAUAACUAGAGGCUGAACCAAGAGGUUUUUCUCUUAAAACUUUUUGCAAAUUCACUAAAUAUAAAGAAGCUCAAGUGAAGCUUUCUGCAAAGACCUCCUUUGAUCAUUAGGCAUCUUGAACAAUCAUUAUUUUAUCGAACAUGAUUUCUAUGUUUUGAAGGAUGCUAUAUGGAAAAGUGAAAGUAACUACUCACGAGUUAAGAGUUAACACUACUUAACAUGACUUCUCCUAAAAUUAGAGUAUGUAAUGAAACUUUUAUCGCACUAGAGUAAGAAGUUUUUUUCACAGUAAGAAGGGAAGUAUAUACUUCUGUAACUAGAUGCUGAACCAAAUUUUUUUGUUUGUGAGCCGUUUGAAAAUUUUAUGAAUAUGUAGCAAGGACAAGCUUUCUCUAAAGUCCUUCUUUGAUCACUUGGUAAAUUGAGCAAAUAUAUUACAACAUGAAACACAAUUUGGUAUGACUUUUCUUCUACCAUGUUUCAAGGGAUCCUAUCUGAGAAAGUAGUUAAUCACCAGAUUAGCCAUUAUUAAUCUGUGAUAGCCCUUGACCUAGAUAAUUAAGCUCCUGAUCAUUAUUUGAAGGAAAACAAAACCGAAAAAGAAUAAGGAUCAUACCAUAAAGAUGGUUAUAGGCUAUUUUUGUUGCCCCAACAGCACUAAUGCAUUCCAGAAGAGCUUUUAAAGUGCUCCGAGCUUUUAUUAAAAUAAGUUUAGCCCCAAGAGACUCAAGUGACUGCUGCAGAUGUAUGAGAGAUUGCUUGAGCCACCACCUCGAAACCCUUCCCGGGUAGAAUUGCCCUUCUUCCUGUGGACACCAUAUAAAAACAGGCAGAACAGAACCAUCUCUAGCAGCUGCAGCUAAGGCUGGAUUGUCAUCGAUCCGGAGAUCCCUCCGGAACCAAACAAUGGUCUUGCCAUCAGUAUCCAUCGUGUUAAGUGACCAGUUCUCCUAAUCCCGACGAAAAGAUCUUAUUAUAUCAUCAACACGUCAUAAAUUGUGUUAAGUUACCAGUUCUCCUGAUCCGACGAGGAGAUCUUAUUAUAUCAUCAACACGAUCAUCAUUUCAUGCAGCAAACUUGACGAUACUCAACAAGUAAACAAUUAUAUAAACUCUAAAGGCAAAAGAGAGAGAGCAACAAAUAAAGAGAAACAGCACUACGUAGCAACCAUAAUAAUUGGAAUAACGAAUUUGUAGCAGACAGGAGGAUUGUGUGACAUGUGACAAAGUUGCAGAAAUCUGAAAAAACAAACAACUCAAGAUCCCAACACAUAUGGUAAAAAAUAAUAUCCACACAAUGGAAGGACCACCACUAACAAGUUGACAAGAAAAAAACAAAUAAAGUAAGAGGUAUAUGUCCCAUGUGUGUUUUAUUGCAUAGAAAAUGACAGCAAAAAUAGGUGAAUAAUCCUCAUGAGUCAUGGGUCGAUGCCGAGACUACCCCCACUUGAUCACCAUCUUCUACUGUACAAUCUUCUUUGAGCAUUUUACUCUGCCCAUCUUUAUUUGGACACUUGCUUACACUAGUUAGCACUUGGCACUAGUGCUCUAAUAUUAAAUUGACUACCUGUAUAUGUCAUGUGAUAUUGCAACUUUAUCAUUAACGGGACGUACCUAAACCCGACUUCUGCUUUUAUAAGUUUGAAAAAGGAUUUAUUCUUUCGUUUGUAUAAAACGUCAAGAGUAAUUAUAAAAACUAGUAUCAUAAUUAUACCGUAAAUAUAUACAACAUUUUAUGCAAAAGCUAUGAUAAUAUUAUAAUUUUUCUUGAGAUAAAUAAUUUUCACAAGUAGAAACUAAUUUCGGUAUCAAUCUCAAUUUUUUUGUCAGGGUAUUAGCCUCAAUUUAAACAGAAAAUUUUUGUUAGUUUGUAAAAAUUAUAUUUAGAGGGUUCUAAUUUUAUGCUACGAUAUUUAUACUCUGAAAAAUAGAAGUCAGCGACUAUUCUAAUUUUGCUAUGGUUGUUCUGGCAAAACGUGUCAAUCUAAGCAACUGCAAAUUGCUGAAUCUUAUGUCGGUGACAGAGUCUCUCUAUGUCGGUAAAAAUAGGAAAUGUGAAUGAAGAGAAGUAGUACGAGUGUGAUGAAGGAUUAUCUCAAUCACGUGGGUGCCCCAGAUUAUCACGUGGGCUUGUUGGAUUCUUGUGAAACAGGUACACUCAAAUAAAUUAUGCCCAUGCCCUUUUGUCCCGUCAAAUAUAAAAUCAAACUGCACCAUAAAUCUUAAAAAAGUAAUUUUGUAAUUGUAUUCACAGUACUGGCCUCUCCUAGCGGUAAAAUUUAUCUAUGUAUAAGUACAUGUAUGACUGUAUGAGUAUGAACCAAUUUGAUUGGUUCAAAAUAACGUUCUUGGAAUAAUUUAAAAUAAAAGUUGAUGCCUUUUUAAUAUUCUGACGAAUUACCCAAAUGAGCGGUUAAGCAACAAUGACUGAAAGUUUCAGAGUAUCAUAUUGGAUGAAAAGGAGAUGUAUCAUAGGGGCCGUUUGGCUAAACUUAAAAAAAGUGAUUUUUUACUUAAAGUAAAGAAAUGGAGGAGAAGUGAGAAGUAAAAAAGUUAAUAAAGUGUUUGGAAAACAAGUAGAAGCUGUGAGAGAGAAGUUAGCAUUCUUAGCUUCUUAAAAGUGCUUCUGCUUCUUUACACAAACGGGUCAAGAAAAGUAGAAACCAGAAGUAGAAGCUACUUCCACUUCCCAAAGAGGCCCAUAUACUCGACACGGGCAUUUUAAUAAAAUAUACUCCCUCUGUCCCUUUGAAAAGGAGAUGUAUCAUAUACUCUCUUCCCGUGAUUAGUAUACAGUGACACGGGCAUUUUAAUAAAAUAUACUCCCUCUGUCCCUUUAUUUAUACUCUGAAAAAUAGAAGUCAGCGACUAUUCUAAUUUUGCUAUGGUUGUUCUGGCAAAACGUGUCAAUCUAAGCAACUGCAAAUUGCUGAAUCUUAUGUCGGUGACAGAGUCUCUCUAUGUCGGUAAAAAUAGGAAAUGUGAAUGAAGAGAAGUAGUACGAGUGUGAUGAAGGAUUAUCUCAAUCACGUGGGUGCCCCAGAUUAUCACGUGGGCUUGUUGGAUUCUUGUGAAACAGGUACACUCAAAUAAAUUAUGCCCAUGCCCUUUUGUCCCGUCAAAUAUAAAAUCAAACUGCACCAUAAAUCUUAAAAAAGUAAUUUUGUAAUUGUAUUCACAGUACUGGCCUCUCCUAGCGGUAAAAUUUAUCUAUGUAUAAGUACAUGUAUGACUGUAUGAGUAUGAACCAAUUUGAUUGGUUCAAAAUAACGUUCUUGGAAUAAUUUAAAAUAAAAGUUGAUGCCUUUUUAAUAUUCUGACGAAUUACCCAAAUGAGCGGUUAAGCAACAAUGACUGAAAGUUUCAGAGUAUCAUAUUGGAUGAAAAGGAGAUGUAUCAUAGGGGCCGUUUGGCUAAACUUAAAAAAAGUGAUUUUUUACUUAAAGUAAAGAAAUGGAGGAGAAGUGAGAAGUAAAAAAGUUAAUAAAGUGUUUGGAAAACAAGUAGAAGCUGUGAGAGAGAAGUUAGCAUUCUUAGCUUCUUAAAAGUGCUUCUGCUUCUUUACACAAACGGGUCAAGAAAAGUAGAAACCAGAAGUAGAAGCUACUUCCACUUCCCAAAGAGGCCCAUAUACUCGACACGGGCAUUUUAAUAAAAUAUACUCCCUCUGUCCCUUUGAAAAGGAGAUGUAUCAUAUACUCUCUUCCCGUGAUUAGUAUACAGUGACACGGGCAUUUUAAUAAAAUAUACUCCCUCUGUCCCUUUAUUUCUUUACGGUUACUAUUUUGGGAUGUCUCUUUCAUUUCUUUGGGUUAUUAUAAUUAAUAAAUUUUUUUCAUCAUUACACCCACUACUUUCCUCCACUAUCUCGAAUCUAUUAUUAAAUAUUAAUAGGUCCCACCAUUUUACCCAUUUUUUGUCUAACUUUACUCAUUUUUUAUACAUUGUCUUGGUCUCCGUGUCCCCCUCCAAUAUAAACAAUUGACGGGGACGGAGGGAGUAAUUUUAUAAUUUUUUUUAUAUUUUACAUUUUUGGGUAAGAUGUAAUAUUUAAAUUGAUAUUAAAAAGAAAUUUAAAAAUAAGUUAUAUACUAUACCUACAAAAAUAUUAAAAUUAAAUCUUUAUCGAAUAUUGAAAAAGAAAAUAGGAGUAUGUAUUUUGUUGAAAGUUGUUUCAAACAAAACUGAGGUAUAGAAAUAACCAAACUGACAGCAAGUUCAAAUUCUAAAAUCUUGACCAAUUAUUCUGAAUAUUAGUUUAGGCCUCCGGGCGAGCACAAGUUAAUAUUACAUAAAAUUUACUUUCUCAGUAAUUUGUAAUUAUUAUUUUCUAUAUUUUAAUAUGUAAUUUAAUUUAAUUAUCUAUAUUUACAUUUAUUCAUAUCUUUAAAACUUUAAUAGGAAUCAAAUCUUAAAUAUUUAUCUAAAUUUCGGUUCACAUGUGAGUUGAAAAUUUUAACAACUGCGGUGAAAAGAAAUGAUAAGUUUUACCUUCAGGCAGAGAACAUAGGCAUCUACGGCUUGCAGCGAAGGAGGAGGGGAAAAAAAGGAAGGAGAGAGAAAACAAAUGUAUUUUAAUUAUUUUUAAAAUUUAAUAUAAAAUAUCGAAUUCUAAUAAUUUUAGACAUUAAUAGUUAUUUUCAUCUUCAACAACAUUUUUAUGUUCAUUAUUAUGUAACAUUUUAUCAUGAAAAGAUAUUAUUAUUACAAAAAAUGAAAAGUGAGAGUGUUUAUUCACAGGGGCCAUUUAGACAUUUAAAAAAGAUGACUUCUUACUUAAAAUAAAGAAGUGUAUUCGAAGUGAGUGGUAAAUAAGUUAAUAAAAUUUUUGGAAAAAAAGCCUCUGUGAGAUUCAGAGAUAUGUUAGCAUUCUCAGCUUGUUAAAAGUGCUUCUGCGUAUUUACACAUAUGGGUUAAGAAAAACAGAAGCACGGACGCAGCAACUGCUUCAGUGUUAAACAAACAAGGCCUAUAUAUACUACGCUGUGUGAUAGAAUAUAUUUUAAAUAUAUUCUAGAUGAUUUUAUUCUCAUAUUUAAUUGUAUUUUGCAUUGAUUUGGAUAAUUAUUUAAUAGAUUUUAAUGUUUUAUUGUAAAGUGCAAGGAAUUCCUAAAGUUGGAAAGAUUUGAAGAAAUGAAUCUUAAUUGGACACAAAUUUGGAUGGAAAUUCGGAUUUAUUGGGCUACACAUAUUAUUUCGCUGUUUUGGCCAUAUCUGGAGUUCCGUACAUCGGAUUUUGAUGAUCUUACAGCCCACGCGAAGCUUAGAGAAUUUUCUUCAAUUCAGAGAUGGUCCAAUAUCCAAAACCCAACUGGAAAAGCCCAGAAACUGUGGAGAAAACAGACCUACGAAUUUUAAUUACAGAAUCCUAUUCGGUUUCGGAGGCUGCCUUGUAAAUUCAUUAAAGCAUUAAAAUACUUUUAUUCUAGGAGAUCAAUAUUAGUUUUUAUCAGAGAUACAUAGAUAGAGAUAUAGAGAGAAGAUAAGAGACUUUUACUUUUCUUCUUGUUCAAGAUUUGAAGAUUGAAAGUUUUUCUUCUAUUCUUAAUAAUAGUUUAAUUAUGCGUUUUUAUUACAUCUUGUGUUUUGUUAGUUUAAUUAUGAGUGAGUAGAUCUAUAAUCCGGGGUUAAGUUGAACCCUAACUAUGAUAGAUGCAUGAUUCUCCCACCCCAAACUGAUUGUUUAAUUGCUCUUGCUUAUUGAGUUGUGCUGAUUAACAAUUACAUGUCAGGCAUGAUUAUGUGAUUUGUUUGAACCAAUAUCUAUUUACCUUCAGAAGUUGGACUUAGAUGGUUGUGAUUUAUCCAAUAAGGACAUGAAAUUCUCCAUGGAAAUAGGUAGAAUGGAUUGUUAGGAAGCCAGGAUGUUGUGUUUAAUGUCUCUAAAUUGCAUGAUACCAUGGAAAUAGGCUUGAUUGUAUUGUUAGAGAAGCCAUUAAUACUCGGAAGAGGUUAAUGGUAUUUUAUAGGGCGCAUCUUUCCUCUUGAGUAAUAUAUUUGAUUGAUUGGGGUAGGGAAUCGUAAUUGCAUUGAUUCAUGCUAGUGGGGAUACUUAAUUCUGGAUGUUUUUAAUUAAUUGAUAAAAUCCUUAUUUGCCUUAGUAUAAUUAGUUUAAUAAAUCUCAAAAUAUUAUUGUGUUCUUUGAUUAGUUGAAAUUGGUCAGAAAUAACUAGUGUUUGACACAUUUGUCUCUGUGGGAUCGACUCUGACUUGCCCUGCUACAUUGUUAGGAGGAAUUGUUAGAAUUAUUAUUUGAUAGGUAUACGACAGCCUUGUCACUUGGCUCUUGCAUUCAUCAGAUUAAGNNNNNNCUUUUAAGAGUUAAUUGCAUUUGGCACCUCUUUAAUUUCAGCAUGUUGCACAUUGCACCUAAUAGUUUUGGAAUAAACACUAUGCAGCCCCUUACUUUUAACCGGUAGACACUUUGCACCCUUUCCGUUAUCUUCUGCCGUUCCCGUUAACUCUUAAAGGGGCAUUUUGGGAAAUUUUAUUAUAUUUAAUUAAAAUCAGACUUUUAUUAAAUUUUCCGACCAUCUAAACGAUAUUUUUCGGAAAUCUAUUUUUCAGUAGUCUGUAAUAUAAUAGUGAUCUGUGUCUAUAUCUUUAUAUGUAGUACUCCAUAUGUGUCCUAGGUAGUUUAUCUUAGAGGACGAUAGUACAGAUUUUUUUUACUCAGAAAGGAAAUCUCAAAAUUAACUUAUGGAACUAUAUUUAUAAAAAGUGGGAACCUUAAAAUACGUGAUCAGUAGUGGUAAAGAACUAUAAAGUCAAGUGAUACUAUAUUUUUGUGGAGUCUUAAAAUAAUUCAUAAAACAAAAUUUUUUAGGUUCUUGAAAUGCCUGUUAAACUCUCGUACUUCAAGGUAAACUAGCUAAGGGACAUAUAGAUGACUGUAUAUAAUGUUAUAGACACAUAUCAUAUUACCAUAAUAUUGCAGACUACCACUAUGUUUUUAUAAUGCUAAAAAAAUAACAUAUUGUUAAUAAUCAAAUCAAAACAUAACGUUAGUGACAAAAAAAAAUCCAACGUUUUUUUAAGGAAAAAAAACCAACAUUAAAUUUUAUUCAGAAAAAAUAAAAUAAAAUAAUUUUUGAAAUUUUUUGGAGUCUCAAAAUGCGUGUCCAACUCUCGUCCUCCAAGGUAAACUAUCUAGGACACUACAUAAAGAUAUAAACACAUAUCAGAUCGCCAUUAUAUUGCAGACUAACACUAUAUUUUAAUAAUACUAAAAAAAUAACAUAGUGUUAAUAAUCAAAUCCGAACCUAACGUUAGUGACAAAAAAAAAAUCCGAACCUAACAUUAGUGACAAAAAGGAAAAAAAUUAUAGUUCAGUGGUAAGUUUCUAAACAAAUAAUAAGUUGGAUGGCAAAAAAAUCUAUUUUCCCAUUAUUAUUUGAGAGGUAUACGACAGCCUUGUCACUGUGCCAAUCAUUUCUUUACUAUUUUAUUUUUGGAUGUUUCAUCCAAUUUUUUCCAUUUCAAAACUUAUCAAAAAUAAUUAAUGGAUCCCACCACAUUCCCAUUUUUUGUCCUUUUACACACAACUUUUACUCCACUAUCUUCUUUUUAUACACUGAAAAUCAAUAAGUCCCAUCACUCAUCCAUUUUUCAUUUCAUUUUCACUACUUUAUACAUAUUUUUUAAUCUUCGUAAGACCGUGACCAAAUCAAACAUAAACAAUUGGGUAGACGGAGGAAGGAUAAAAUAUGAGCUAGUAGGAUAGGUUAGCUGAAACAUAAGAAAUGAUAACAAGACUUAUAGUUUAAGAGAUAAUUAAACUAUUCGAAUAACUUUAAAUGGCCAGAAUACCAAAUUUUAAAACUUCCCUUUCAUUUGCAAUUUUAAACAGCAUGGGACUAUUUAGGCUUUGAUUUGGGCCUCUUGCCCAUUGUAGUUUAAGAUUUUUGAUUUUAAGCACAAGCCGGUUUUGGAGAUGCAACUAAAACUAUCUGUUUGUUGCUUGCAUGUUACAUGUGUACAGCACUACAGCGUCACUUUUACCAUAUUAUUAUUAAAUUUAUAUAUUUUAUAUUUUUAAGAGAUAUAUCUUUGAAUAUUACUCCAUCCGUCCUCCUCAAUUAUUUACGUUGGGGGACGGGAGCUCGGCACACAUUCUAAUACUCUCAAAAAAUAUAAUUUGAUAAGUUGUUUUGAAUUUUUUUCCCCUCGGAAUAAAUAUUUACUAUCUAAACUUUUAUAAAAAAAAAGAAAAAUUUCAAAAUGAAGUUAGUGAAACUAUGUUUGAUAUGCUCUUAAAAUUAUGUGUGUCGAGCAAUGAAAAAAGUUUAAAGAAAUGAGAGGGACAGAGGGAGUAACUAAUAAUUUUUAAAAAUUUUAUUCAUUAUAAUACUAAUAUAUGUCUAAAAUAUAUUUAUAUAUUAUAAAUUCAAGUUCCUUGGAGUACUCACAUUUACCGGAGUAUUGGAGUCCAAGAUCUAGACCGUCCAUUUAUAAUCUAAACUAAUGUUGUGUUUGGUUGGGGAGAAUGGAAUGGAAUGGAAUGAAAUGAGUAAAAAUACUUGAAACUAAUAAAGAUAGGAAGAAAAUUUUGAAAAAAAAAUGAGGAAGUGCAAAAUAGCUAUGAUGAUGAGAUUUGAGAAGAAAUUGAGGAUGUGGAGAAUGGAGCAUUCCAUCUCAAAUUGAAGGUGUGAAAUGUAGCACAUGAUAUAAGGAAUGGAAUGGAGGAAUGAAUGAAUUUCUUGAAAAUUGUCCAUAAAAUAGUUCAUUUUUCAUUCCAUUCCUUCCGGAAUCAUUCACCCCAACCAAACACAACACAAGGGUUCAUAUAAUUCUAUAUUUUAACUUCUUUACUUAUUUAAUUAUUGAUAUCGUUGGUGUAUAUGAAUAACCAACUCCGACAGUUGCACAGAAACAUGCAUUGUUCAAUGCAGUCGCCUCACCUAUAAACUUUGUUUUGUUCAGCGUUCUUGUAUCUACGUAAAUAUGAUUUAUGUAGAAGAAAUACGUAAACAUGGAGACUUCUUCGUUUCCCUUAAAUUAAAAAUUUUAAAUAACCAAAACCCAUUCAGAACAUUCACUAUAAUGUAUUACAAUUUCAUUAAUCAUUUUAAGAGAUAUAAUUUGAUCAUCAUGUUAUACAAUCAAAAAUUCUUUAAUCACUAUCAUUUAGUUCUGUAAAAUUUUAUCCUUUAAUUCCGCAAAAUUUUAUCCUAUUUGCUUUCGGGCUCCUCCCAAAAGGCCUCAUACUAAUGGAGUUCUUUGGCUGCUUAUAUUCAAGAUAAAUCUUCUUUAUUUUUCCGAUUUAGGACUUGGGUUGAACCCAUUCAACAAUCUCCCCUCAAUCCAAGAACCACUAAUCUUGUGACCCUUAUACCGCCGCUACUCAUCGGUUCCUCAUCUUGCGGGACACGCCGUCCGACCACCUUUGUCGGAAAGACUUUCGACACAAGCCGUCCAAGAUCUCCAAUCGUAGUUCUGGAGAGCCUCCCCCACAUCACACAACUGCAGCCCGCAACCCCAGGAUCAACUUCUUAACCUCGCUCUGAUACCACUUGUUGGGCCGCGCAACACCCUUUAACUCCGCAUUAGUAUGAUAUUGUCCGCUCUGGGCCGUGGCCAAGCCCGCACGGAUUUGCUUUCGGGCUCCUCCCAAAAGGCCUCAUACUAAUGGAGUUCUUUGGCUGCUUAUAUUCAAGAUAAAUCUUCUUUAUCUUUCCGAUGUGGGACUUGGGUUGAACCCACUCAACAAUAGCCACACUAAAAAAAUAAAUAGAAAUUAUAGUUUCUGACUUGAGUUUUGCUACGGACAUAUCCCUAAAUAUUGAUCUCUGCUUUGCAAAAAAUAUGGGUGCAGAACGGGAAAUUCUCUUGAACAAUAAAACUGAAACUCCUAGGCUAGAUGGUGUUCUGAUGUAACUGUUUAAUAUCAGUUAUUAAUGCACAUAAAAGAAGUAAGAAAAUUUAAGAAAAUAAAAUAACGUGGACCGUUAGAUCAGACUAUAAUGGAUGGUCUAGAUCUUGGACUCCAAUUCUCCAAAAAGUGAGUACUUCAAGAAACUUUAUAUAUUAAUUAGUAUAUAUUAAUAUAUUGAUGUAAUUAUAUAUUAACUCGUUAAAGCAGUGAAUCAGGUGAGAAUAUUUUGUUUGUAAGAAUAAUGAGAACAAUUGUUCUGCACUGUUUAGAAAGUGCAGAACAAUUGUUUUAGAAAAUUUUCACUUUUUGAAUGUUGUAUUGUUCUGCAACAGAACUGUUCUUAUGCUAAAAAAAUUUCUCCACUCAGCGCAACCCUAUUCGUUAAUAUAUAUGUAUAUAUAGAUAACUAUUUAAAAAAUAUUUAAAUUUAUUUUGAAAUAAGAAUUUAGUUUCAAUUUUUGAGAUUUGACCCAGGAAUCCAAUUGAUUUACCUCACCAUAUGCACAGUAUUUCAUAUAUGUCAAUAUAUUAGUUAAAUAUAUCAACAAGCUAUUGAUUAAAUUAUUAGCUUUGAAUUUUUGUGUUAGGUCAAUUAUGCUAUAGACAAAGGAAAUAAUAGUCUAAAUCUCAAUCUUAAACUUGCUCUUUAGUCAAUUUUAUACAUAUAGUCAAUAUCCAAAGUUAUGGAAGUCCAAGUCGUUUCAUCUUGUAUCGCGGUUUACUUGACGUUAUUGUUUUUCGUUUCAAAAUAAGAGGCGUUCUAAUAUUUUAUACAUAAUUAUAUCUUAAAUUAAAUAUAAAAAAAUUUAAAAUGAUUAAAAAGAGGUAAUGAGAAGAUAAAAAGAGAAAAAUAACAUAACAAAAGAAUAUAAUGUGGAAUAAGUAAGUUACAAGAACUUGGUGCGCCCUAGUCUACUCGUGGCAAGUUAGGAUGCAUGAUGCAUCACACAUCGUAAACACUAGCCUAAAUAUGAUAACUAAGAGAAAUAAAUCAAAUAAAUGGAUACUUAUAUACAUACAGUUAAAAGUUUUAGAACAUGAAGAAAAUGAAGAUUAGAGUGUUUAAAUCUAGCAGAUUACACGGUGAAAAUCUAAAAAGAUAUAUGAACAUGUAUCUUAAGAUGAGUGGAAUCAAAUUACGGUGACGGAAUUGACAAGGGUAUGCUUGAGUUGCUGAAAAAGCUUAAAGAAGUCUGAUGGUGGCGUGAAGAGAGGAAGAGAGGGGGAAACUUAAAGAUGAAAGAAAAUAAAGAGAUAAUUAAAGAAUAAACAACUCUGUUCGUACGCACUAAAAAAUAUCUCUAAAAAUGAAUGAAAAAUAAGAAAACAAUUGUCAACCGAUUAAUGAAUUCUAACUGUCAAUAACAUAGGGUGCGCUAAGUUAAAGGUUGCCUAUAAUUCACUGUAUAUACAACAAGGUGCAAUAACGGAAACAGAAAGAUGGAUUUUGUUAUAAAAAGUUAGAUAUCACCAACAUUUCCGAUGUCACCGGGAUCUGAGGGUAGUUGUUAUAUACUCGAAAUGUGGUUUGGACUUGCUUGAUAGGACCUAAAAACUGAAGAUAUUAUGUUUAGGAUGAGACUUUGUCAUAAUUGGGCUGUUCAGUGAGUGGGCUCACCACUUAUCCAAUGCCUUCAGGGAAGACACUUGGAACAAUUUAACAGGGAAAUAAUUUAUAUGAAAAUUCGAAGAGAAAGAGAAGUCCUUUUAUGCUUAGCGGGAUAUCUAUAAAUAUAGAUGAGUUAUGUCGUCAAGGUUGGAAGAUCAUGUUCUCCGUAUUCCACUGAGCCAUUCUCAUCGGGGAGUAUUAAGAUAUUAUUGAGAGGGUCUUGCUCU
RNAcentral lists this long non-coding RNA (31194 nucleotides) under Daucus carota (carrot). RNAcentral describes it as "long non-coding RNA (DCAR_LNC004830)". Lineage: Eukaryota; Viridiplantae; Streptophyta; Magnoliopsida; Apiales; Apiaceae. The record is from RNAcentral.